GCCGGGAUGGUGGAAUCGGUAGACACGCCGGACUUAAAAUCCUGUGGGCCACAAGCCCGUGCGGGUUCGACUCCCGCUCCUGGUACCU
RNAcentral lists this transfer RNA (88 nucleotides) under Nostoc linckia z16. RNAcentral's name for it is "tRNA-Leu". It matches the Rfam family "tRNA". Rfam says of the family: Transfer RNA (tRNA) molecules are approximately 80 nucleotides in length. Their secondary structure includes four short double-helical elements and three loops (D, anti-codon, and T loops). Lineage: Bacteria; Bacillati; Cyanobacteriota; Cyanophyceae; Nostocales; Nostocaceae. RNAcentral also lists the same sequence under 1 other name. The record is from RNAcentral.